GUCCCUUUCCACACUGUGGAAGGUUUGUUCUUUUGCUCUUUGCAAUAACUCUUGCUGCUGCUCACUGUUUGGGUCCACAUUGCUUUUAUGAGCUGUAACACUCGCCGCGAAGGUCUACAGCUUCAGUCCUGAAGCCGGCGAGACCACCAACCCACCAGGAGGAACAAACAACUUCAGACGCGCUGCCUUAAGAGCUGUAACACUCACCGCGAAGGUCUGCAGCUUCACUCCUGAAGCCAGCGAGACCACGAACCCAUCAGGAGGAACGAACAACUCCAGACGCGCCGCCUUAAGAGCUGCAACACUCACCGCGAAGGUCCGUAGCUUCACUCCUGAGCCAGCGAGACCACGAACCCACCAAAAGGAAGAAACUCCGGACACAUCCUAACAUCAGAAGGAACAAACUCCGGACACGCCACCUUUAAGAACUGUAACACUCACCGCGAAGGUCCACGGCUUCAUUCUUUAAGUCAGUGAGACUGAGAACCCGCCAAUUCCGGACACACAGCUACAGCCAAGCCUCUUUGCUUCUCUGGGCCAGCCUCUCUGGAGCUGAAUCGUGGCUGGCUGGAUUUGAGGAGCCUGCAUGGGCGCACUCUCUCUUUCUGAAUCCCAGCUAGGGCUCUCCUGGCUGUAAUUACUAAGACUCAGCUGCUGGGAAUUUCCACGCCUCCUACCUCUCUACAGGGCAGUCCCUCCAUAUUAGGAAACCCACUGGCACGCUCCGCCGUUAUCUUCGCAAGACUUCCGUUGUUGCCUCAAGUUGCAGAUUGCCUUUUAACAGAGAAGAAAGUGACAGAAAGAUGUCUCUGCUGGCAGCGUGGGGGGCAGGCUGGCUUGGGGAUGCUGGAGGCUGGAGCUCUAAGUAGAGGAUGGUGUUAUCCAAGACCCGGAGGCAUCAGGACCUGCAAAAGUGCUGUCAAAACAGGAAAAUGCUGUGAACUUUAACAAAAUUGUCAAGUUCACCAACUUUUUUUUUUCUCUGUUAAAGAUCUUGCUUGCUUGACUGGUUUUUCCAAAUUCCCAGAGCUUCUCUGAAGUCAGUCAAUAUGGCAUUAUUGUCAUUUGGGGAACAGUAAACCUUUGAAAAAU
This 1092-nucleotide long non-coding RNA is filed under the name Homo sapiens (human). Its description in RNAcentral is "non-protein coding lnc-WSCD1-1:1". The record is from RNAcentral. Lineage: Eukaryota; Metazoa; Chordata; Mammalia; Primates; Hominidae.